Long non-coding RNA from Mastomys coucha (southern multimammate mouse), 278 nucleotides. RefSeq lists it as uncharacterized. NCBI's taxonomy places the organism in Eukaryota, Metazoa, Chordata, Mammalia, Rodentia, Muridae. The transcript has 2 exons. The record is from RefSeq and is a predicted model, not a curated record.
CCAUCUCCCAGGGCACAGUACCAGGGCGACAGUUUUCACACCUCUUGAAAAGGACCACAUUGCUUGUGGGUUAAAAUGGUGUCCAGUGUCUGCUCCACGCUGGGGCCGCUGGGUGAGGUGGGAUGCACGCCACCGCCAGUCUGACUUGGGAGAAACGAAGACAAUAUGAGACCCAAAGCUCUGCAUGGAGAGCAGAAAGUCUAUGGGAGAUGGUGAGCAGAACUGGGUGGGGCUGGACCACAAAAGCAAUGGCCUAGUAGUAAAGAGACAUGAGUGAC